Acipenser ruthenus (sterlet) is the source of this 396-nucleotide long non-coding RNA. RefSeq lists it as uncharacterized. The transcript has 3 exons. NCBI's taxonomy places the organism in Eukaryota, Metazoa, Chordata, Actinopteri, Acipenseriformes, Acipenseridae. The record is from RefSeq and is a predicted model, not a curated record.
AUGUAAGUGGCAGUGCCAGCAGCCCCUCCAGUGCUGUGCUCUGGUAUAAAUAUGUCUGCUUCUCCACUGCAACUCUACAGACCUGCCUCGACAGCUCCAGACCAGCAGACACCAUGAAGACUCUCGUGCUCGUUUUCUCCCUGGCUCUCCUCUGCGGCUAUGCAGAGACACUUGUGUGUAGUGUUAAUGGUAGAGAUACCAUAACAUGUCGUAAAGGCCUUGAUGUUUGUUUCAAAAAAACUGCUUCUAUUACAGGUAACGCUGUUACGAUUAGAGGAUGCAUGUCUUCAAAAGGUUGUUAUGCUGAGCUGAACUGUUGCAAAACCGACAAAUGCAAUGCAUAAUUAUCAUGCUUCCAAAUGCAUCCUUGAAGGAAAUAAAAUCUAAAGCAUCUUA